RNAcentral lists this ribosomal RNA (497 nucleotides) under uncultured bacterium. RNAcentral describes it as "partial 16S ribosomal RNA". It matches the Rfam family "Bacterial small subunit ribosomal RNA", at positions 28 to 507 of the family's 1533-position model. The record is from RNAcentral.
GAUGAACGCUGGCGGCGUGCCUAAUACAUGCAAGUCGAGCGAACGGACGAGAAGCUUGCUUCUCUGAUGUUAGCGGCGGACGGGUGAGUAACACGUGGAUAACCUACCUAUAAGACUGGGAUAACUUCGGGAAACCGGAGCUAAUACCGGAUAAUAUUUUGAACCGCAUGGUUCAAAAGUGAAAGACGGUCUUGCUGUCACUUAUAGAUGUAUCCGCGCUGCAUUAGCUAGUUGGUAAGGUAACGGCUUACCAAGGCAACGAUGCAUAGCCGACCUGAGAGGGUGAUCGGCCACACUGGAACUGAGACACGGUCCAGACUCCUACGGGAGGCAGCAGUAGGGAAUAUUCCGCAAUGGGCGAAAGCCUGACGGAGCAACGCCGCGUGAGUGAUGAAGGUCUUCGGAUCGUAAAACUCUGUUAUUAGGGAAGAACAUAUGUGUAAGUAACUGUGCACAUCUUGACGGUACCUAAUCAGAAAGCCACGGCUAACUACGUG